GCACGAAUGGCGUAACGAUGGCGGCGCUGUCUCCACCCGAGACUCAGUGAAAUUGAAAUCGCUGUGAAGAUGCAGUGUAUCCGCGGCUAGACGGAAAGACCCCGUGAACCUUUACUAUAGCUUUGCACUGGACUUUGAGCUUGCUUGUGUAGGAUAGGUGGGAGGCUUUGAAGCGUGGACGCCAGUUCGCGUGGAGCCAUCCUUGAAAUACCACCCUGGCAACCUUGAGGUUCUAACUCUGGUCCGUUAUCCGGAUCGAGGACAGUGUAUGGUGGGUAGUUUGACUGGGGCGGUCUCCUCCUAAAGAGUAACGGAGGAGUACGAAGGUGCGCUCAGACCGGUCGGAAAUCGGUCGCAGAGUAUAAAGGCAAAAGCGCGCUUGACUGCGAGACAGACACGUCGAGCAGGUACGAAAGUAGGUCUUAGUGAUCCGGUG
Molecule: ribosomal RNA, 436 nt
Filed under: Staphylococcus aureus
Lineage: Bacteria; Bacillati; Bacillota; Bacilli; Caryophanales; Staphylococcaceae
Description: partial 23S ribosomal RNA
Rfam family: Bacterial large subunit ribosomal RNA
Source: RNAcentral